GGAAAAUUCUAGAAAAGAAACUGAGUCGAGAAAAGAACCCAUUUUCAGAAUUUUAAAAUUUGAACGGUGGGAAGCCCCCAUUCUUUCAUUGCAGUGUCUUUACGUGUCUGCCUUCCUCAACUAACUGCUAAUUUGUCAUUUUGGAUUUCUUUUGUCAAACAAUUUUGGUUUCUAAACGUGGUUAACUUAAAACAAUGAAUUUGAUUUUUUUAUUUUUUUAAAUUUGGACACCCAUGAACAAGAAAGCAAAUUAGGCAAUGGAGUUUUUCCUAUAUAAACCCCCCUCUGCCUCUCUUCUUCCUCCCCCUCUUCCUCUUCUUUACCCUCUAUUGUUCACUCUCUUUCUCUAUAUGUGCAUCUUUGCCUUCUCUAAAUCGCUAAACUCUCUCUGUUUUGCUCCUUCCCUUUCUUAAGUUCCACAAAUCAUCACCUGGUAUGAUAUACCCCUCUGGUUUUAAGUCUUGCAUUUUCUUUCUCGUCUAAGUUCUGAGUUGUUUUUUAUAGCACUUGGAAGUUUCGCCAUCUGGGUUUUCACCUAUAAUCGAUUUUUGGGUUUCUGCGUGUGUUCUUUAUUUUGGAAACAGUGUGAAGACCUUUUAGCUCAAACUCAAAAGUAGUGUGCAUUGCUGUAAGGGGGUGUUUUUAUUUUUAGUUGUGAUCAGAGUUUUGAUGAACUUUUUAAUUGAAUUGGAAAUGCAUAAGUCACUUGUCCAUUCUUUCUUGAUGCAAUCUGUUAUAGUGGUUGUGGAUUGUCUACUCAUGAAUUCAACAAGGCCUUAUCUCAACUGCUAGCGAUUAUCCACUCAUCUAGAUGUUUCUCUGCAUAUGGUGCUAAUCCUAGUAGAUAGGAACCUUAAUUUUUUCCCUUUUCUACCCGUGAGAGCUUACAUUUUGAGAGUUAAAUUCAAUCUUCGUUUUAGCUUUGGUGGGUUUAAGUUAUCAAUAUUGAACUUUGAAUUCACUCCCUUUUGUUGUUUGCUUAAGGUUUGUUGAUAAAAAAUGGAGUAUGAGGAUCGCUACCUCCAGGCACAAAAGCCUAAAUAUGAUUGCCUUUUGUUUGAUCUUGAUGAUACACUUUAUCCCCUUAGUUGUGGUCUUGCAGCAGCAUGUGGCCAGAAUAUUAAAGAUUAUAUGGUGGAACACCUUGGGAUAGAGAAGAGCAAGAUCACUGAAUUGGGUAACCUGCUGUACAAGAAUUAUGGCACAACAAUGGCUGGCCUCAGGGUAUAGCAUUUGAACAUUUUUUUAACCAUAAUAUAAAAUCCUUCUUUGAUUCCAUGAGUUGCAUUUUGAUGUUGGUGUCUUUCUUUCUGCAGGCAAUUGGUUAUGACUUCGACUAUGAUGAGUACCACAGGUAGGAAACAGGAAUAUCCUUUCUUCUGUUUUAUCACUAUAUUGUUUUGUUAAAAUUUUUACAUGAGUUACUGCUAGUUUGAUUUACCCAUAUUUUUCACUUUCCUAUGUACCAGUUAUGUUCAUGGGAGACUACCCUAUGAGAACUUGAAACCAGACCCUGUCCUGAGGAAUCUUCUGCAGAGCCUGCCAAUUCGAAAAGUUAUCUUUACGAAUGCAGACAAAGUGCAUGCCCUCAGAGUUCUUGCCAAGCUUGGGCUGGAAGAUUGUUUUGAAGGGAUUAUUUGUUUUGAGACUCUAAACCCUACCCACAAGAACACCAUUUCUGAUGAUGAAGAUGACAUUGAGUUUGUGGGAUCAGCUGUUACUGCAGCUGCCAAAACUACUAGUAAUCGUACUGAAAUUUUUGACAUUAUUGACCAUUUUUCUCGACCAAACCCAGGCGCAGAGUUACCAAAGACGCCUAUUGUCUGCAAACCAUCAGUAACUGCCAUAGAAAGGGCUCUGGAGAUUGCUAACAUUAAUCCUCAGAGAACUUUGUUCUUUGAGGAUAGUGUCCGCAACAUUCAGGCUGGAAAACGUGUGGAUCUUCACACUGUGCUGGUUGGUACAUCUCAGAGAGAGAAAGGUGCAGAUUAUGCAUUAGAAAGCAUCCACAACCUGAGGCAAGCAGUGCCAGAGAUUUGGGAGGCUGAAAUUAAGACAGAAGGGUACCCUGGAAAGCUUGCAAGGGAGACACCUGUCACUGCCUAAGAUAUUUGCUUUCUUGUCAUUAGCUCAAAGGAAGAAAGUGAAUCAAUGAUAAGAGGAUCUUAGGAUAUCUAUGAUCAUAAGGUCUACCCACCUCUGCCCGCUCGGAUUGA
Molecule: unclassified non-coding RNA, 2216 nt
Filed under: Hevea brasiliensis (rubber tree)
Lineage: Eukaryota; Viridiplantae; Streptophyta; Magnoliopsida; Malpighiales; Euphorbiaceae
Source: RNAcentral